GACGAACGCUGGCGGCAUGCCUAAUACAUGCAAGUCGAGCGGAGUUGAUAGAAAGCUUGCUUUCUUGAUACUUAGCGGCGGACGGGUGAGUAACACGUAGGCAACCUGCCCUCAAGCUUGGGACAACUACCGGAAACGGUAGCUAAUACCGAAUACUUGUUUUCUUCGCCUGAAGGGAACUGGAAAGACGGAGCAAUCUGUCACUUGGGGAUGGGCCUGCGGCGCAUUAGCUAGUUGGUGAGGUAACGGCUCACCAAGGCGACGAUGCGUAGCCGACCUGAGAGGGUGAUCGGCAACACUGGGACUGAGACACGGCCCAGACUCCUACGGGAGGCAGCAGUAGGGAAUCUUCCGCAAUGGGCGAAAGCCUGACGGAGCAAUGCCGCGUGAGUGAUGAAGGUUUUCGGAUCGUAAAGCUCUGUUGCCAGGGAAGAACGCUUGGGAGAGUAACUGCUCCCAAGGCGACGGUACCUGAGAAGAAAGCCCCGGCUAACUACGUGCCAGCCGCCGCGGUAA
RNAcentral lists this ribosomal RNA (516 nucleotides) under uncultured bacterium. RNAcentral's name for it is "partial 16S ribosomal RNA". It matches the Rfam family "Bacterial small subunit ribosomal RNA", at positions 28 to 523 of the family's 1533-position model. The record is from RNAcentral.